Molecule: long non-coding RNA, 575 nt
Organism: Ostrea edulis (European flat oyster)
Lineage: Eukaryota; Metazoa; Mollusca; Bivalvia; Ostreida; Ostreidae
Exons: 3
Source: RefSeq, a predicted model, not a curated record
GUAGCGACGGAUAGCAACCACGUGAUCAGUAAAAAUUGUGUAUUUUCACGUGAAUUCAUUUUCCGGAAUUCCUUACUCCGUCAUAGAAUAGUCGAAAAACAUGAAGGGGUUCCGAAAGUGUUUUGUUGUUGUGACUGACUCGCCUACAGAAAAUAUGCACAUACCACAUAAGUAUACGUCAAUGUCUGUAAUAAUGGUAGAUCAAAUGUUUCAUCUGUGUGAAACUUUUUGCUAAUCGAAAUGUUAAACCAACCACCAAUCCAUGUACAUAGAUGCGCUACGUAAACAAAGUUGUUGAUCGAUGCAUAGUAAUGUCCGAGUGCUGCAUGCUGAGAGAUUAGAUACUGUUUAUACAGUCAUUGAGAGGCUAAACAAAGUUUCUUGCAAGAAGAGGAAGUUAGUGGAUGCAUUCAACUUGGACAACGAAAUCAUAGUUUCGUUUGGCAUCAGCCUGAAGACCGAGGGAGGUUAGAUAGGACCAGUGCAGGUUGAAGUGGAUUUCGAGGCAACAAGUAUAACAGCAAGAGAGGUACUCCAUUUACAGUGAUGAUGACAUAUCCCCUGGACCCCCACAA